Molecule: regulatory RNA element, 121 nt
Organism: Novosphingobium sp. PP1Y
Lineage: Bacteria; Pseudomonadati; Pseudomonadota; Alphaproteobacteria; Sphingomonadales; Sphingomonadaceae
Rfam family: Glycine riboswitch aptamer
About the family: This family represents the bacterial glycine riboswitch. Glycine riboswitches usually consist of two metabolite-binding aptamers domains with similar structures in tandem.
Source: Rfam
UAGUGACGCUCUGGAAAGUGCCCCGUCCGUUUCGGGCGUGGCCGCCGAAGGUGUAAGCCCGGAUACCCUGCUGCAGGGUGCCGGGGCAAAGCUCUCAGGCUUCCGUGACAGAGGGGGCACC